This 520-nucleotide ribosomal RNA is filed under the name uncultured bacterium. RNAcentral's name for it is "bacterial SSU rRNA". It matches the Rfam family "Bacterial small subunit ribosomal RNA", at positions 30 to 518 of the family's 1533-position model. The record is from RNAcentral.
CGAACGCUGGCGGCGUGCCUAAUACAUGCAAGUCGAACGGUCUUUCUAUGGAAGUUUGCUUUCACUGAGAAGAUAGUGGCGGACGGGUGAGUAACACGUGGGGUAACCUGCCCAUAAGAGGGGGGAUAACAUCCGGAAACGGGUGCUAAUACCGCAUAGUUUUCUUGAUCGCAUGAUCGGGAAAGGAAAGACGGCCUUUGUGCUGUCGCUUAUGGAUGGACCCGCGGCGUAUUAGUUAGUUGGUGAGGUAACGGCUCACCAAGACGAUGAUACGUAGCCGACCUGAGAGGGUGAUCGGCCACAUUGGGACUGAGACACGGCCCAAACUCCUACGGGAGGCAGCAGUAGGGAAUCUUCCGCAAUGGACGAAAGUCUGACGGAGCAACGCCGCGUGAGUGAGGAAGGUUUUUUCCGGGAUCGUAAAACUCUGUUGUCAGAGAAGAACAAGUUGGAGAGUAACUGCUCCAGCCUUGACGGUAUCUGACCAGAAAGCCACGGCUAACUACGUGCCAGCCGCAGC